GGCAGUGUUGCCUAGUGGCUCAAGCACUUGAGUGUGACUCAGAAGACCUGGGAUCUAGUCCUAGCUCUGCCA
This 72-nucleotide transfer RNA is filed under the name Pelodiscus sinensis (Chinese soft-shelled turtle). It matches the Rfam family "tRNA". From Rfam's summary of the family: Transfer RNA (tRNA) molecules are approximately 80 nucleotides in length. Their secondary structure includes four short double-helical elements and three loops (D, anti-codon, and T loops). Further hydrogen bonds mediate the characteristic L-shaped molecular structure. tRNAs have two regions of fundamental functional importance: the anti-codon, which is responsible for specific mRNA codon recognition, and the 3' end, to which the tRNAs corresponding amino acid is attached (by aminoacyl-tRNA synthetases). tRNAs cope with the degeneracy of the genetic code in two manners: having more than one tRNA (with a specific anti-codon) for a particular amino acid; and 'wobble' base-pairing, i.e. permitting non-standard base-pairing at the 3rd anti-codon position. The record is from Rfam by way of RNAcentral. Lineage: Eukaryota; Metazoa; Chordata; Testudines; Trionychidae.